UAAUUUUAUGCAGCCAACUGAGGCACUAUUUUCAUUUCUGAAUUCUCAAUCAAGCCCUGAGGCAAAAUGAUCCUGUUUCUUAGCAACCCAGAUGGGCAGAGCCAGAUUAUACAUUUGAGCUCUUUUGUACAACAAAAGAAUAAAUAGCUCCCAGAAUAAACAUGUGCUGUGAGUUCAUCUCUUUGCUCAGCGUCCCCUAGCACUGUAGAGAAGAGAAGCCCGGCUGUGUGAUACAACACGUGAAGCUGGGCAGAGAAACCUGACUUUACAGAGUGGGGUUAAAAUACCUGUGAGGAAAAAUCCCAUAAUGCUCACCACUAGCUACAAAGGCAGACAGCCCACCUUCUCUUUUGAAAGACAAAUCAAAUUUUCUGCAUGCCUGGAUUUGGCCUUUGCACAGAAUCAAAGUUUUGUGCAGCAGCUCCGAGCCACCCCGCAGAGAGAUAUAUGGCAAAAGCAGCCUCCUGAUUUUAGCUACAAAUUCUAUAAAUCUUCUAGGCCUUCACGAAAACCACUAGAAAAGGAAAAGGAAGAUUUGAAGAAGGCCAAUAGCACUGAGACUAAGCAACAGCUGCCAAAGAUAAAGACCAGCCAGUUCCACACUGCUUCGGAAAGGAAGAAAGAGUUGCCCAAGAUUGUCACAAGGUUUCCACACGUGGGCUCAUAUGAAGUGGAUAUAAUGUUUGUGGAGAAUGGAAAAUAUAAGACUGGCAUAUACCAAGAUCCCAAACCACAUGAUUUUAGGCAGAGAGGAAGGCUUUUUCCUCACAUCUCUGCCUCUGCCACUGACAGACAGAAAACAUAUGCACCCGGCCACCCUGAUUCCAACCUUGCACUGAGAGUCAGCUCCUGCUAAGAGGUAAGUAUCCUCAGCACCCUUUGGCAUCAGGAUCAGGAUCAGGCCCAGGGGGAGUGAUGAUUCCCCACUCUAACAGUCUGAGGAAUGCAGAACUAAGCGUCUAAGGGUAUGUUUCAGUGCUUAAUUUGUGCCAGUAAGCUUGCCAGGGCUGAGUCCCAGCCCCUCUAGCACUUGGCAGUUCAUAGCCCCGGCACCUCGGGGCUUGCUGCAUCUGUUAUGAAUGUAAAAAAAAUUGCUUGAGCCCCGGCA
RNAcentral lists this long non-coding RNA (1108 nucleotides) under Chrysemys picta bellii (western painted turtle). RNAcentral's name for it is "lncRNA (ENSCPBG00000024320.1)". Lineage: Eukaryota; Metazoa; Chordata; Testudines; Emydidae. The record is from RNAcentral.